RNAcentral lists this ribosomal RNA (118 nucleotides) under Solanum tuberosum (potato). Lineage: Eukaryota; Viridiplantae; Streptophyta; Magnoliopsida; Solanales; Solanaceae. The record is from RNAcentral.
GUAUGUGACCAUACUAGUACUAAUGCAUUGGAUCCCAUCUGAACUUCGAAGUUAAGCAUGCUUGAGCAAGGGUAGUACUAGGAUGGGUGAUUUCUCGGAAGUCCUCAUGUUGCAUUCU